RNAcentral lists this ribosomal RNA (1413 nucleotides) under Staphylococcus xylosus. RNAcentral describes it as "bacterial SSU rRNA". It matches the Rfam family "Bacterial small subunit ribosomal RNA". The record is from RNAcentral. Lineage: Bacteria; Bacillati; Bacillota; Bacilli; Caryophanales; Staphylococcaceae.
GUCGAGCGAACAGAUAAGGAGCUUGCUCCUUUGAAGUUAGCGGCGGACGGGUGAGUAACACGUGGGUAACCUACCUAUAAGACUGGGAUAACUUCGGGAAACCGGAGCUAAUACCGGAUAACAUUUAGAACCGCAUGGUUCUAAAGUGAAAGAUGGUUUUGCUAUCACUUAUAGAUGGACCCGCGCCGUAUUAGCUAGUUGGUAAGGUAACGGCUUACCAAGGCGACGAUACGUAGCCGACCUGAGAGGGUGAUCGGCCACACUGGAACUGAGACACGGUCCAGACUCCUACGGGAGGCAGCAGUAGGGAAUCUUCCGCAAUGGGCGAAAGCCUGACGGAGCAACGCCGCGUGAGUGAUGAAGGGUUUCGGCUCGUAAAACUCUGUUAUUAGGGAAGAACAAAUGUGUAAGUAACUGUGCACAUCUUGACGGUACCUAAUCAGAAAGCCACGGCUAACUACGUGCCAGCAGCCGCGGUAAUACGUAGGUGGCAAGCGUUAUCCGGAAUUAUUGGGCGUAAAGCGCGCGUAGGCGGUUUCUUAAGUCUGAUGUGAAAGCCCACGGCUCAACCGUGGAGGGUCAUUGGAAACUGGGAAACUUGAGUGCAGAAGAGGAAAGUGGAAUUCCAUGUGUAGCGGUGAAAUGCGCAGAGAUAUGGAGGAACACCAGUGGCGAAGGCGACUUUCUGGUCUGUAACUGACGCUGAUGUGCGAAAGCGUGGGGAUCAAACAGGAUUAGAUACCCUGGUAGUCCACGCCGUAAACGAUGAGUGCUAAGUGUUAGGGGGGUUUCCGCCCCUUAGUGCUGCAGCUAACGCAUUAAGCACUCCGCCUGGGGAGUACGACCGCAAGGUUGAAACUCAAAGGAAUUGACGGGGACCCGCACAAGCGGUGGAGCAUGUGGUUUAAUUCGAAGCAACGCGAAGAACCUUACCAAAUCUUGACAUCCUUUGAAAACUCUAGAGAUAGAGCCUUCCCCUUCGGGGGACAAAGUGACAGGUGGUGCAUGGUUGUCGUCAGCUCGUGUCGUGAGAUGUUGGGUUAAGUCCCGCAACGAGCGCAACCCUUAAGCUUAGUUGCCAUCAUUAAGUUGGGCACUCUAGGUUGACUGCCGGUGACAAACCGGAGGAAGGUGGGGAUGACGUCAAAUCAUCAUGCCCCUUAUGAUUUGGGCUACACACGUGCUACAAUGGACAAUACAAAGGGCAGCUAAACCGCGAGGUCAUGCAAAUCCCAUAAAGUUGUUCUCAGUUCGGAUUGUAGUCUGCAACUCGACUACAUGAAGCUGGAAUCGCUAGUAAUCGUAGAUCAGCAUGCUACGGUGAAUACGUUCCCGGGUCUUGUACACACCGCCCGUCACACCACGAGAGUUUGUAACACCCGAAGCCGGUGGAGUAACCAUUUAUGGAGCUAG